Molecule: ribosomal RNA, 257 nt
Filed under: uncultured prokaryote
Description: partial 16S ribosomal RNA
Rfam family: Bacterial small subunit ribosomal RNA
Source: RNAcentral
UACGGAGGAUGCGAGCGUUAUCCGGAUUUAUUGGGUUUAAAGGGUGCGUAGGCGGCUUUUUAAGUCAGCGGUGAAAUUUUGCAGCUUAACUGUAACAGUGCCGUUGAUACUGUUUGGCUAGGAUUUGGUUGUAGUGUGCGGAAUGUGUGGUGUAGCGGUGAAAUGCUUAGAGAUCACACAGAAUAUCGAUUGCGAAGGCAGCUCACAAAGCCAAGAUUGACGCUGAGGCACGAAAGUGUGGGGAUCAAACAGGAUUA